RNAcentral lists this transfer RNA (71 nucleotides) under Paralvinella palmiformis. Its description in RNAcentral is "tRNA-Gln". The record is from RNAcentral. Lineage: Eukaryota; Metazoa; Annelida; Polychaeta; Terebellida; Alvinellidae.
UAUAGGUUAGUGUUAUCCUAGCACCUAGAUCUUUGACCUCUAAAGACGAAGCUAAUUACUUCGACCUAUAA